This 385-nucleotide ribosomal RNA is filed under the name Mesalina guttulata. Its description in RNAcentral is "partial 12S ribosomal RNA". It matches the Rfam family "Bacterial small subunit ribosomal RNA", at positions 794 to 1384 of the family's 1533-position model. The record is from RNAcentral. Lineage: Eukaryota; Metazoa; Chordata; Lepidosauria; Squamata; Lacertidae.
GCUAAGCCCUAAACAUUGAAAGCCACCAUACUAUGCUUUCCGCCAGAGAAUUACGAGCAACAAGCUUAAAACUCAAAGGACUUGACGGUGUCCCACAUCGACCUAGAGGAGCCUGUCCUAUAAUCGAUACCCCCCGUUCCACCCAACCUUUACUAGCAAAAACAGCCUAUAUACCGCCGUCGACAGUCUACCCCAUGAGGGUUUAACAGUAGAUAUAAUAGUUAAUAACUAAUACGUCAGGUCAAGGUGUAGCAAAUGUAAAGGAAGAGAUUGGCUACAUUUUUUAACUUAAAAAACACGAAAUGCACCAUGAAAUACUGCAUGAAGGCGAAUUUAGCAGUAAAAUAAACAAGAGAGUUUAUUUUAACACCGCUCUGGGACGCGU